Molecule: long non-coding RNA, 895 nt
Filed under: Coffea arabica (coffee)
Lineage: Eukaryota; Viridiplantae; Streptophyta; Magnoliopsida; Gentianales; Rubiaceae
Description: long non-coding RNA (CARA_LNC000167)
Source: RNAcentral
CUCUUCAAAUCAACUUCACUAAUACACUCAAGAGCACCAAAGGAAGGAAUUUCAUGGAGUAGAUUCUAGUUUAAGGACUUGAGUUGGGUGAUUUGAGCUUGUUGGAAGCUUAAACUUGGAAGAGUUUUUCUUUCUUCUUUGAUGAGAGGUUCGGCCAACACAAGGGAAGAAAAUGGUGAAUUUUGUGAAUUUUUGGAGAUAUUUAACCAAUUUUGGUCAAAGGUCAAAAUAGUGAAUAGUAACUCUUAAAGUCAAACCAAUGGAAAAUUGACACUUGGCACUCUAAUAAAUGCAUUCCUAUCCUUUCUUUUCUCUCUCACAUCAAUCAAAUCUCACUCUCUACUUAUCUCGUAACAUCCGAUAACUUUUCCACAGUAUCCGAAACUUAACCGUAUUGGCCGAAUUUUCCCGAACUUUUCGCACUCGUGGGUCCCACGUCCAAUAUAUAUUCUUAAUUUUCUAAAAACUAUCCAAUACGAGAAAACUCAUCUUAAAACUAUAAUUACUCAUAAAAUUCACCAGGAAACUAUUCCUAAGCCAGAAAAUGCAGAAAACAUGCAAUUAAGGGGAAAUAAACCCUAGGAAAAAUAUUAGGGUUUUACGGGUUCUCACACUCUCCCCCCUUAAAAGAAUUUCGUCCUCGAAAUUCCUUAUCAGCGGAAUCCCUCAAAUCUAAGGUACCCAACGGAUCAAGCAAAUGACUAGCCCAAAUUGCCUACCUAGGCUCUCAUCUCUUCCGUAUCCGGGCACAAGAAUCCCAUCUAAGAUAAUUCACAACUCGAGCCGGCCGGUCCCAAGAGUAAACCAUCCUUAUUAAAGAUUCCUACCCGACAUACAUACCUAGUUUCCUCGAGUCCCAUGAUAAUGAUUCGCACACUUAUCACAUGCCCGGUUC